RNAcentral lists this ribosomal RNA (482 nucleotides) under Pontastacus leptodactylus (narrow-clawed crayfish). RNAcentral describes it as "Astacus leptodactylus (narrow-clawed crayfish) partial large subunit ribosomal RNA". It matches the Rfam family "Bacterial large subunit ribosomal RNA", at positions 1857 to 2602 of the family's 2925-position model. Lineage: Eukaryota; Metazoa; Arthropoda; Malacostraca; Decapoda; Astacidae. The record is from RNAcentral.
ACCUGCCCAUUGGAAUCUAAAAGGCCGCGGUAUUAUGACCGUGCUAAGGUAGCAUAAUCAUUAGUCUUUUAAUUGAAGGCUGGUAUGAAUGGUUGGACAAGAAAUUAGCUGUCUUAAAUAAAAAUAUUGAAUUUAACUUUUAAGUGAAAAGGCUUAAAUUUUCUAAGGGGACGAUAAGACCCUAUAAAACUUUAUAUUUUAAAAUAAUAAUUAAUUUUAUAUAGAGGAUUUAUUUUUAAAUAUUUUAUUGGGGUGAUAAAGAUAAAAUGUAAGAUAACUGUCUUUUUUUUUUUACAAGUGAUAUUUGAGUAAAAGAUCUUAAAAAAGGAAAUAAGAGAUUAAGUUACUUUAGGGAUAACAGCGUAAUUUUCUUUAAGAGUUCUUAUCGACAAGAAAGUUUGCGACCUCGAUGUUGAAUUAAAAGUUCUUUAUAGAGUAGAUAUUAUAAUAGAGGGUCUGUUCGACCCUUAAAAUUUUACGUG